Molecule: long non-coding RNA, 235 nt
Filed under: Homo sapiens (human)
Lineage: Eukaryota; Metazoa; Chordata; Mammalia; Primates; Hominidae
Description: HSALNT0216727
Source: RNAcentral
CCCUGGCUCCUCUCCAAAAUCUGGCCCCUCUCCCAGAUCGGGCCCCAUCCCCAACUACAGAGGCCCCCAGGCCUCCCCAGAAGGCUCCCCCUGGCAGGGUCUCAGGCCGCCAAGGAUCAGGCUGCUCUCAGGGAGAGUGGACCCUGCAGAUGGGAAGGGAAGCACUAGGCUGGGGAAUGGGGCCCCUGAAAUGGAAGGAGCUAUGCUUGGGUACCCAGUCUGGGUAUGGGUGGAG